UGCGGAGGAUCCGAGCGUUAUCCGGAUUUAUUGGGUUUAAAGGGUGCGUAGGCGGUUUGAUAAGUUAGAGGUGAAAUGUCGGGGCUCAACCCCGAAACUGCCUCUAAUACUGUUGGACCAGAGAAUAGUUGCGGUAGGCGGAAUGUAUGGUGUAGCGGUGAAAUGCUUAGAGAUCAUACAGAACACCGAUUGCGAAGGCAGCUUACCAAACUAUAUCUGACGUUGAGGCACGAAAGCGUGGGUAGCAAGCAGG
Molecule: ribosomal RNA, 253 nt
Filed under: uncultured bacterium
Lineage: Bacteria
Description: partial 16S ribosomal RNA
Rfam family: Bacterial small subunit ribosomal RNA
Source: RNAcentral